UUGAAAGGGAAACGAUUGAAGUCAGUCGUACCGACGAGAAAUCAGCUUAUCGUGUGUUAACUUGUGGGCGUGCGUGAGUUUCGGCCUCGCUGUUUGCAUGUUUGUGCGCUUUGGGUGUACUUUUUCGUAUGGUUGGCCAACAUCAGUUUCGAUCACUAUAAAAUGACUGGCGGAAUGUAGCUUCGAUUUCGGUUGAAGUGUUAUAGCCUCUGGUAGACGUGGUGAUUGGGACUGAGGAUUGCAACGAAUAUCCUUUGGGCUAUCCGUCUGGCCUCUGAAAGUUGCUUGGGUGCUGAAAGCUUGCUUAUGGUUAUCUAAGUUAACGGUCAAUAGGUUAGAACGCGAUUACAUUCGUUAAGGAUGUUGACGUA
This 371-nucleotide ribosomal RNA is filed under the name uncultured Glomeromycotina. RNAcentral's name for it is "eukaryotic LSU rRNA". The record is from RNAcentral. Lineage: Eukaryota; Fungi; Glomeromycota.